GACGUAGGGCGCGAGCGUUGUCCGGAAUUAUUGGGCGUAAAGAGCUCGUAGGCGGUCUGUCGCGUCGGCUGUGAAAACCCGGGGCUCAACCCCGGGCCUGCAGUCGAUACGGGCAGACUAGAGUGCGGUAGGGGAGACUGGAAUUCCUGGUGUAGCGGUGAAAUGCGCAGAUAUCAGGAGGAACACCAGUGGCGAAGGCGGGCU
RNAcentral lists this ribosomal RNA (204 nucleotides) under uncultured bacterium. RNAcentral describes it as "partial 16S ribosomal RNA". It matches the Rfam family "Bacterial small subunit ribosomal RNA", at positions 524 to 727 of the family's 1533-position model. The record is from RNAcentral.